RNAcentral lists this antisense RNA (156 nucleotides) under Anaerohalosphaera lusitana. RNAcentral's name for it is "Phycisphaerae bacterium ST-NAGAB-D1 Vibrio RNA AS7". It matches the Rfam family "Vibrio RNA AS7". Rfam says of the family: Identified by direct cloning an parallel sequencing experiments with 5S/tRNA depletion. Lineage: Bacteria; Pseudomonadati; Planctomycetota; Phycisphaerae; Sedimentisphaerales; Anaerohalosphaeraceae. The record is from Rfam by way of RNAcentral.
GGAGUCGGUCGCGGUCGGUGAUGUCGCCUGAGAUGUGGUACGGCAGACCGCAGUUUGCGAAGGAGAUGUACGGGCCGCGUUCGAACAUGAUGAUCUCGGCGGAUUCGGAAAGCCGUCUUGCUCGUGCUGCUGCUGAGGCUCCGCCGGCGACGCCGC